RNAcentral lists this ribosomal RNA (468 nucleotides) under uncultured bacterium. Its description in RNAcentral is "partial 16S ribosomal RNA". It matches the Rfam family "Bacterial small subunit ribosomal RNA", at positions 28 to 507 of the family's 1533-position model. The record is from RNAcentral.
GACGAACGCUGGCGGCGUGCUUAACACAUGCAAGUCGAACGGAAAGGCCCUGCGUUUGUGGGGUGCUCGAGUGGCGAACGGGUGAGUAACACGUGAGUAAACUGCCCUUGUCUUUGGGAUAACUUCAGGAAACUGGGGCUAAUACCGGGGAGGAGCUCCUGCUGCGUGGUGGGGGUUGGAAAGUUUCGGCGGUUGGGGAUGGACUCGCGGCUUAUCAGCUUGUUGGUGGGGUAGUGGCUUACCAAGGUUUUGACGGGUAGCCGGCCUUGGAGGUUGGACGGCCACAUUGCGCCUACGGUACGGCCCAGACGGCUACGUGCGGCAGCAGUCGGGAACAUUGCGCAACGGGCGGACGCCUGAUGCAGAGACGCCGCGUGCGGGAUGCCGUCUUUCGGGUGGUAAACCGCUUUGUCCGGUGACGAAGCGUGAGUGACGGUACUGGGUAAAGAAGCACCGGCUAACUACGUG